AAGAACUUGCAAAGUAAAAACAUGAUCUAUGUCAGGUAGCCCUUUUGUUAUUUACAGUUAAAAAGAGGAUUAGUGUUACUGUGUGCUGGCUGAGUCGGUUUCUUUUCUUAGAAAUAGUUUCUCCUGCCUUGGAGAAAAUCCACUUGCAUGGAACAGAAGAGGCUGUGGAGUGCAGGAACCACACUGCAAGCUGGUAGAUAUGCAGGUUUUUCACUUCGGCAGAUAAAAUGAAUUGAGCAAAAUCAACUCAAAAUAUUCCCACACGCCAGAACGUCCUCUUUUCCUCGCUGGCUCCAUAUCUGUCAGUGGAAUGAUCACCUCUUCUCUCUCUGUCACCAUCAACACACUCCACGAAUCCCGUGGAUGAUUCACUUCCUUAUAUCCGUUUGAAUCAGGUGUCACUACCCGAGAGGGAGAGAAAGAUGGCGGAAUAAGCGGUUGUACAAUCUGCGGGUCUGAUUAAGAAACGUGAUUUUGAUGUCCUGUAAAAUACUUUACUGACAAACUGUUACUCCAAAGGAAGUAGAACGCAAGCGAAACCCCCUGGAAGUUACUUUGACAGACCUUCAGGCAGACACAAAGAUAAACUUAGAGCGAUAAAAAUGGCUAACCCCAAGCUAACAGGUAGCCUCUCCGACCAUGAUUACAACCUUGCUGCUAUGCGGGAAGCAUGUGAGGAUGAAGAUAUAGAAGAGAUGGAACUUCAGAAAGAGAUCGGAAGACCCAUAGGUGACCACACUCUGUUACCAAGUCCCAAUCCCAAAAAAAUGAAAAGCAAAACUAGUGAGAACCAGGUGAGCAUCGAGAAUGUAUAUGAAGUUUUACUUGGCUUCACAAAGAGAUGCGAGGAAAGGUUUGAUUCGCUUGAAAAGAAGUUGGAAGCCUUCGAACAACGCA
This is an RNA transcript of Haplochromis burtoni (Burton's mouthbrooder), 897 nucleotides long. RefSeq lists it as uncharacterized. The transcript is spliced from 2 exons. Lineage: Eukaryota; Metazoa; Chordata; Actinopteri; Cichliformes; Cichlidae. The record is from RefSeq and is a predicted model, not a curated record.